CUAGGGGCACACUGGUAGAGUGCAAUUCCCUCCACUUCUACGGGACUACACCACUAACCCUGAAACAUUAGGAAAUGGUCAGAUUUUUUUAGAUACUUAAAUUCCACUGUACUUCUUUAUAAACAAUGAUUUCUUUCUGUACCUUGUUCCUGAUGUAGGUAAAACAGAUAAGAGUCUUCACAAAGUUCAAAGAGGUACUUAACAAUACUUGGAUUAAGCUAUGGACUUCCAAGGAGACCUGAGAUUUUCUGACUCAUCCCCAAAGGAUGCCUCCUACACUAUAUACAAAAGCAUCUACUAUAUAACACAGAUUAAUAAAAUGCUU
Molecule: long non-coding RNA, 325 nt
Filed under: Bos taurus (domestic cattle)
Lineage: Eukaryota; Metazoa; Chordata; Mammalia; Artiodactyla; Bovidae
Description: long non-coding RNA NONBTAT015307
Source: RNAcentral